Non-coding RNA from Schistosoma mansoni, 45 nucleotides. NCBI's taxonomy places the organism in Eukaryota, Metazoa, Platyhelminthes, Trematoda, Strigeidida, Schistosomatidae. The record is from Rfam.
AUCUAGCUGACGAGUCUCAACUAGGACGAAAUGCGCGUCCUGUAU